RNAcentral lists this ribosomal RNA (459 nucleotides) under uncultured bacterium. RNAcentral's name for it is "partial 16S ribosomal RNA". It matches the Rfam family "Bacterial small subunit ribosomal RNA", at positions 338 to 795 of the family's 1533-position model. The record is from RNAcentral.
CCUACGGGAGGCAGCAGUGAGGAAUAUUGGUCAAUGGUCGGGAGACUGAACCAGCCAAGCCGCGUGAGGGAGGAAGGUACAGAGUAUCGUAAACCUCUUUUGUCAGGGAACAAAGACUGGGACGCGUCCCCGGAUGAGUGUACCUGAAGAUACAGCAUCGGCUAACUCCGUGCCAGCAGCCGCGGUACUACGGAGGAUGCGAGCGUUAUCCGGAUUUAUUGGGUUUAAAGGGUGCGCAGGCGGUCUGUAAAGUCAGCGGUAAAAGCCCGGGGCUAAACCCAGGCCCGCCGUUGAAACUGGCAGUCUCGAGUUGGAGAGAAGUAUGCGGAAGGCGCGGUGUAGCGGUGAAAUGCAUAGAUAUCGCGCAGAACUCCGAUUGCGAAGGCAGCAUGCCGGCUCCACACUGACGCUGAGGCACGAAAGCGUGGGUAUCGAACAGGAUUAGAUACCCCUGUAGUC